UACGAGAGGCCCAAACGUUAUUCGGAAUUACUGGGCUUAAAGAGUUCGUAGGCGGCGCAGAAAGUAGGGUGUGAAAGCCCUCGGCUCAACCGAGGAAUUGCGCUCUAAACUACUGUGCUUGAGGAAGCUAGAGGUGAGCGGAACUGAUGGUGGAGCGGUGAAAUGCGUUGAUAUCAUCAGGAACACCGGAGGCGAAGGCGGCUCACUGGGGCUUUUCUGACGCUGAGGAACGAAAGCCAGGGGAGCGAACAGG
This 253-nucleotide ribosomal RNA is filed under the name uncultured bacterium. RNAcentral describes it as "partial 16S ribosomal RNA". It matches the Rfam family "Bacterial small subunit ribosomal RNA", at positions 524 to 776 of the family's 1533-position model. The record is from RNAcentral.